This 253-nucleotide non-coding RNA is filed under the name Terricaulis sp. Its description in RNAcentral is "partial 16S ribosomal RNA". It matches the Rfam family "Bacterial small subunit ribosomal RNA", at positions 524 to 776 of the family's 1533-position model. Lineage: Bacteria; Pseudomonadati; Pseudomonadota; Alphaproteobacteria; Caulobacterales; Caulobacteraceae. RNAcentral also lists the same sequence under 4 other names. The record is from RNAcentral.
UACGAAGGGGGCUAGCGUUGUUCGGAUUUACUGGGCGUAAAGCGCGUGUAGGCGGACUUGUAAGUUGGGGGUGAAAUCCCGAGGCUCAACCUCGGAACUGCCUCCAAAACUACAAGUCUGGAGCAAGAUAGAGGCAAGUGGAAUUGCGAGUGUAGAGGUGAAAUUCGUAGAUAUUCGCAGGAACACCAGUGGCGAAGGCGACUUGCUGGAUCUUUGCUGACGCUGAGACGCGAAAGCGUGGGGAGCAAACAGG